AUGAACGCUAGCUACAGGCAUAACACAUGCAAGUCGAGGGGCAGCAUUAUCGAAGCUUGCUUUGAUAGAUGGCGACCGGCGCACGGGUGCGUAACACGUAUCCAAUCUACCCAUGGCUCAGGGAUAGCCUUCCGAAAGAAAGAUUAAUACCUGAUGGUCUGCGGUCGAGACAUCUCCUCCGCAGUAAAGAUUCAUCGGCCAUGAAUGAGGAUGCGUCCGAUUAGGUAGUAGGCGGGGUAACGGCCCACCUAGCCGACGAUCGGUAGGGGUUCUGAGAGGAAGGUCCCCCACAUUGGAACUGAGACACGGUCCAAACUCCUACGGGAGGCAGCAGUGAGGAAUAUUGGUCAAUGGUCGAAAGACUGAACCAGCCAAGUAGCGUGAGGGAUGAAUGCCCUACGGGUUGUAAACCUCUUUUGUUUGGGAAUAAACACAGGCUCGUGAGCCUGCUCGAAUGUACCGGACGAAUAAGCAUCGGCUAAUUCCGUGCC
Molecule: ribosomal RNA, 491 nt
Filed under: uncultured organism
Description: SSU rRNA
Rfam family: Bacterial small subunit ribosomal RNA
Source: RNAcentral